UUGACUUACUUGUCCGAGGUUUGUAGCUGAGCCGAGGAGUGUUGGUACUCAUCCGGACUCCAUUUCCAGACAUUCAGCAAGUCCAGCUUUGUAUUGGACCAAGUUGAGGAAGUCGGCGAAAUGUUUGGCGCGUUUCCAGAGAAAAUAAGCUCGGAUGAAGGAACUAAACAUAGAAUUUGUGAUCAUUUGUACAUCCCAGCAACACUCAACACUGAGCAACUGCCAUGCUUGCAAACUAUGAUGUUUCUCCAGGAAAGAACUAUGUGUGUGCUGAGCUCACGCGGUCUUAGCUCCUUUUCUCAUUGGGUGGUCGGGACCAAGUCUCUGGGCGGGCAAAGCAGAGAAAGGGGAGACAAUAUCGCCUAACAGCCUAUCGAAACUUUCUGGAAUGGGUGCUGCAAGGCGAGAGAUUGGGCCGAGGCUGUCGUGUCGUUUUACCUACUUGCGUCGUGCAGACAAUCCGACUAAAAUAUCCAGCUCCAGACGGCCAGUAGUGCGGGCACCGAGAAGCUGACGACGCUCCGGUAGAACUAUAAAUUUCAUUGUUUACAUAUAUUUUUGUUUAUAUUUCUUGAAAUAAAUGGUUCAAAUUCA
Long non-coding RNA from Gadus macrocephalus (Pacific cod), 594 nucleotides. RefSeq lists it as uncharacterized. The record is from RefSeq and is a predicted model, not a curated record. The transcript is spliced from 2 exons. NCBI's taxonomy places the organism in Eukaryota, Metazoa, Chordata, Actinopteri, Gadiformes, Gadidae.